Molecule: ribosomal RNA, 275 nt
Filed under: uncultured Staphylococcus sp.
Lineage: Bacteria; Bacillati; Bacillota; Bacilli; Caryophanales; Staphylococcaceae
Description: partial 16S ribosomal RNA
Rfam family: Bacterial small subunit ribosomal RNA
Source: RNAcentral
GUGCCAGCCGCCGCGGUAAUACGUAGGUGGCAAGCGUUAUCCGGAAUUAUUGGGCGUAAAGCGCGCGUAGGCGGUUUUUUAAGUCUGAUGUGAAAGCCCACGGCUCAACCGUGGAGGGUCAUUGGAAACUGGAAAACUUGAGUGCAGAAGAGGAAAGUGGAAUUCCAUGUGUAGCGGUGAAAUGCGCAGAGAUAUGGAGGACACCAGUGGCGAAGGCGACUUUCUGGUCUGUAACUGACGCUGAUGUGCGAAAGCGUGGGGAUCAAACAGGAUUA